GCGCAAACUCGAUCACUAACUCUGCAUGAUGUUGCAGCAGUGAAGGGAACCAGGUUUGCUAAAGUAAUUGUGGUGAUAGAAAUGUAUUAGCCUCAGAAGCAACUGAGGUGGUUCAUUCUAUCCUAGCACAGUG
Molecule: small nucleolar RNA, 133 nt
Filed under: Myotis davidii
Lineage: Eukaryota; Metazoa; Chordata; Mammalia; Chiroptera; Vespertilionidae
Source: RNAcentral